RNAcentral lists this ribosomal RNA (449 nucleotides) under uncultured bacterium. RNAcentral describes it as "partial 16S ribosomal RNA". It matches the Rfam family "Bacterial small subunit ribosomal RNA", at positions 329 to 793 of the family's 1533-position model. The record is from RNAcentral.
UGCCAGACUCCUACGGGAGGCAGCAGUGGGGGAUAUUGCACAAUGGGGGAAACCCUGAUGCAGCGACGCCGCGUGGGCGAAGAAGUAUUUCGGUAUGUAAAGCCCUAUCAGCAGGGAAGAAGAAAUGACGGUACCUGAGUAAGAAGCACCGGCUAAAUACGUGCCAGCAGCCGCGGUAAUACGUAUGGUGCAAGCGUUAUCCGGAUUUACUGGGUGUAAAGGGGGCGCAGACGGCGAUGCAAGCCAGGAGUGAAAGCCCGGGGCCCAACCCCGGGACUGCUCUUGGAACUGCGUGGCUAGAGUGCAGGAGGGGCAGGCGGAAUUCCUGGUGUAGCGGUGAAAUGCGUAGAUAUCAGGAGGAACACCGGUGGCGAAGGCGGCCUGCUGGACUGCAACUGACGUUGAGGCCCGAAAGCGUGGGGAGCAAACAGGAUUAGAUACCCUCGUAU